CGCCGCCACAUCUCUGGUGUUGUUCUUAUCCCUCGCCAUGUCACCGUACAAGGAGCAGCAGUUCCGUCGUAUCAUCCCAACCAAAUACUUCUUUGCCCGCUCGUCGUUUGCGAUGGCGAUGCUGUCUUUUCUGGUGGCGUUCACCUGCAACAUCUACCUACAGAUAUAUGGCUGGCAGAAGGCGAAGUCGAAGGACUUGAUUCCAUUCGUAUUGGAGCUCACCGUCUUCCCCGUCAUCUGUUCCCUGGUGUUGUUCUUUCGUGGCUCCGAUUUCGGUCUAUCUUUCCUUGUUCGUCUUUGGGGUUGAGUCAACAAGCAUGAUCGUCCACAUCUUUGGAAUCUGCAGCUUCAUGAUGCACGUGGGUUCUACCUAUUGCGGGUAUGCCACCUGUUCUAGUGGUGUGUGGUGGUGGUAGUCAUUGGACAGUUAAUAACUUGUGUGUACAAGCAGCGACAAAGGCUUGUGAUGUAUGGACGCUAGUUGAUUGCAACUUUAAUGUGUUCUUUUCUUCUAUCUUAAAUUAGAUGAUGAUAUAGGCGCAGCGGUAGACAACAGAUCCGAUCACCAAUAAUGGUGAUGUCCCUCUCUAUUGUUUUUGACGAAGUCAAUAUGACAUAACUGUUGACCGGAUCUUACCCUGUAUUGUCAUGUAAAUGUCACAUGUCGAGUGACAGAUUUCCCCUAUCGUAUGGACGUCCUUUGGUUUUCCCAGAGGUCGGCUAGAACAUAGGCUCGAGUCUUUUUGAAUAUUCUGUGACAAAUCACAUAGUCCAUAUCGUAAAGUUUUGGCCCACCAAAGUUUGCACAGGCAAACGAAAUGAUUGGCUUAUAGAAGCCAAUCAUUCAAUAAGUGAAGGACAUCAAUUUUGGAUUAAAAAAAUAUCAACAAAAUACAAAUCACCUUUAUAGAAAGGAAAGAAAACUCUCCGUGGAGAGCUUUAUUGCACUCCUUCCCAUCCAUCAUCUAUGGAGUCAAAUAAGAAAGAUUCAAGAGAAGAUAGGAAUGGUCCGAGUGAAGAAGACAAACUAACGAGCAGCAAUGCUCGUCUAUUCCAAAGACCUGCCACGAGAAUAAUACAGCGAGAAAAAAAGAAAGAAAAGGAAGAAGCUUAUUUAUGAGGUGCGAAAGGUGAUGGACAUCCGAUUCACGCCGUUGCAGCUGAUGGUUACCAUCCUCUUCCGAAGCCAACUUGUGCUCGGCUCCUUUGAUUCCUUGCUCGCCCUUUCCCAAUUACUUUUUACAUAAAAUUAAUAUAUUUUAUGUAAAAAUAUAUUAAAUUUUAUAAAAUAUAUUCUAAAUUAUUCAAAAUAUAUUAUUACACUCUCAUUCAAAGAACGUGUUAAAAAAAAUAUUUUUUUUUAUAAAAUUAUCCUAAAUUCAUCAUAAAACUAAUCAUAAAAUUCUACAUCUCUUAUUUUCUAUUUCUUAUAUUGACUUAGUUAUGUUCAAAAUUAAAAUAAAUUAAAUUCGAUUACCUAACCUAUUUUAAUAUUAAUAUUUUUUUUACUUUUAGAUAUAUCUAGAAUAAUUAAUUAUCAAAACUUUGAGAAUUCUACUAUAAUUUGAUUCUAACAAAAUUAUAAUAAAUUUAUAUAAAAAUUAAUAUAUCUUAGUAAAUUCGAGUGUAACUUGGAUGUAAGAGAUUUGGCUUAACUUGAUUCUACUGGAUUCGAAGGGAUCCGACCCAAAUCGAUCUAAUUCAGAUCGAAUCAACCUGCUAAUCAGUCAGGUUUAAAAUAGUCUAUUUCAAAAGUAUUAUCAAAAUUUUUAAAGAAAAUCACCUUUUGUAUGAGCUUUUAUCUUUAUACAUACAAAGUAUCCUAUUAAACAUGAGGUAUUACAAAAAAAAAAAAAAAAUCCCUCUCCAAAGACCUCCUGUCAUGUCAACUCUAGUAAAAUCCCUAUUAACUAGAGAAAGAAGUUCUUCGUUUAUACUAUAGUCGAGACUGCAACCGAUUCAUUGUUAUUUACUCAUUUUCUUUUGGUUCGUUUUCAUGUCAGUGUCAAGCUAUAUGAUAGGUAAACAAGUGUUUGGUACCCUGUCUCCGUUCCACCAUGCGCUGACGUUAUCAGAUUCCCUUUCGCUGAUCUAUAUAUCUUAUUGUCAGAAGACGUGAGACUGAAAGUGAUAUGUUGGAGGAAAGUAUUGAUUAUAUUUCUAUUUAUUAUUGGUUGACCGAUGGAGAUGGUUACUUUACUUGGGAUGUCAUGUUGAGGUAAUUAAAUCAUGCCAACGCAGAUUCGAAUAAUAAAAUUCCUUUAGCUUGUCAUUAAGCAAAAGACACCCACUCGAAGAUAACGUGAUUUGGAGCUACAAAUGAUAACACUGAGAGCAAAAGAUUCAAUAAAGAGAUGUUGCCAUAAUCCCGGGUGCAUAAAAAGAAUCGGAGACCAACCAAAGGGUCAUCAACUCCAAAGACUUGCGAUGAGUAUGAUCUACAAAACCUUUUCUAUAAGGUGCAAGUUGAAUGAUCGGUGGAGACCCACAAGUAGAGGUUUGGGUGCAAGCUUCCGGAUUAUUGUUUCCUGUAGAGCAAGAAUCGUUGACCCACAAGUUAAAGCUACUGUCUAGCUUUAACGUAUGUGAAUUAUUCAUUAGUAGGUUGGCCUCUGUAACAUACGAUUAAUUUGUUGUCGAAUCUUUUGUGACUGAGAUGAAAACGGAGACCAACCAAUGGGUUCUCAACUCCGAAGACUUGCGAUGAGUAUGACCUACAAAAACCAAGGGGGAAGGAGGUGUACGACGAUGGAUGAGAGCCAAAAGGAUCAGCUAGUCUGCUUGUUAAGGCAGGCAUUCAGGUUGCUUUAGUUUCGCAGUAGAAAUCUGGAGGCGAAGGCGUACGCACCAUAUAGCAACUGCAUGCUAUGGGGGAUCCCGCCGCUCUUGCCAAUACGGAUUCCAUUCACGACGGCACAGAGGAUGCUGAUCCACUGCAUGUUCUCAACAGGAGACAUUUUCUCACGGUGAAGUCUCAUUUCCGUCGGAAGAGGCACGAGGCACUCUUGGUUCUAGCCGUGGAAGAUCCUGGUCGCCCGGUGAACCUCAUGAACGACACUUUGCUCCACGUCGUCAUAGCUUGCAACAAGACCGACCUCGCCAGAAGUAUUAUCUUGCAGAUGCCAGUGGAGACCCUCGCGGCCAAGAAUUUGUACGGCGACACGGCUCUUCAUGUCGCUGCCGCCAUGGGUAACAGCGAGGUGGCCAGGGAGCUGUUCGGCAGGAACGAAGAUCUCAUCGAAGAACAGAACUUGAAGCAGGAGACACCACUGCACAAAGCGGCGUUCUACGGGCAUCAUGACAUGUUCUGGUGCCUGGUUAACGAGGGGAAUGGCUCCCCGUACGAGCGGAGGGAGGACGGCGCCACCAUGCUGCACUGUGCCAUCAUGGGCAACGAGCCGGGUAAGCGGUCAUCACCAGUUUCGUUGGCCAGCUGCCUUUAUCUUGUUUUUAUCCUAUUUAUUUGAAUUUUUAUAUGUGGAUCAUACUGCUUCCGCAUCUUUGGCGUGAUCAAGGUGAGUGAGUCGAUGCAGGGCUGGCACUGGAGAUUGCAGAGCGUUUUCCAUUGCUGAUCACGUCGAGGAAUACUAUGGCGGUAACCCCAUUGCAGCUGAUGGUGACCGUUCCGGGGUUAUUCCGAAGCCAAAUGGUAAUUGGCGGCUUCGAGUCCAUCCUCCAUGACUGUAAGUGCUGCCCCGCCUCUUCCUUCAACGCCCCCAGCGCCCCGCCCUCCCCCCUGCUUCUCUAUUUAUUGCACUACAUUUCCUACCAACGACUACCUUAAUUUAGCGAUCGUUCGACGUCCAAAUCUAUUGAGAAUUUACCAAGGGGUGUUUUUUUCUCAUUAUCGGAACACAUAUACCCUUGCUUAUUUGGAUUUAUUAUAUGGUUUUGUGUUAAACGCAUCAAAUCUAAUCGGUUGAGUCUGGUUUGCUCUCUGUUCUUUGUUCUUUCACGUCUCCUCCUCCUACCCUCAAUUCACCCUUUGUUUGUCACCCUUUCACCCUUAUUCUUUCUUCUUCAAGGAGGAGGAGCAGAGGAGGAGGAGGAGAGGAAGCGACACAAGGUUGACUGGUUCAUUGAACCGGUUCACUGAUCCAAACUGUUUCAGUGAAUCAUUUCAAAAAGUUCGAAAUGUAAUUAAAUUGGAAUAGGAGGAUAAAGUUAGAAUUUACCAAAAAAACAUUCCUAAAUAAUUUCUGAAUAUAUAUAUAUAUAUAUAUAUAUAUAUAUAUAAUAAUACNNNNNNNNNNNNNNNNNNNNUAUAUAUAUAUAUAUAUAUAUAUAUAUAUAUAUAAAAUCUGAUGUAACGGGAUAAUUGACUUAUUAACUUCACUAAACUUGGAUCAUUGAUCUGAAUAAUUAAGUUUAAAUUAAUAAUAAUACACUUAUCAAAUCUCUAUAAAUUAAUCUUAGUAUUUGUCUAGUUUUAAUUUUCGAUGUGAAGUAAAAUUAUAAUUGUUCUCAGAAAAAUAUAGUUAUGAUGACAAUUAAACAUCAAGUAUUUUGAUACCAACGUACAUGCUCCUAAAAGUUUGAUUUUAUAUUUCAGUAAUUCCUUUGGAGAAGGACUCACACAGGACACGUCAAAGAGAUGAAGAGGAGGCAUCUGAAAGCUCCAACGAUGCCGGUGUAUGUGCUUCAAAUCAUCAACAUCUUUUCCAUCACAAUAUCAAUAGUCCACUAUUGUCUCUCUGAUUUGUUUCUCACUUUGGCGUCUACAUAUAUAUAAUCUCAAGCAAGCUGAAGCCACAGAGCAAGAUGACCACGAAUAUUUCGGGAGGCAGAGAACAAUUCGUUCGAGAUUUCCAUCUUGCUGCUGUACUCUCGUUGACAAAUUAGUCAUCCCAGGCACUCCUACUAGCUUCUCUGUCUACAAUUUUUGUAGUCAUCCAUGUUCUGUUUCAUUACGCUGAUGUAUUCCUUUUUGUGCUUGCAGUCAAAUGGGUUCGUCUGUUUCUUUUCAUCAUUAUAAGGACUUGUGAGUAACUGUUCCCAAACAGUACAUUGAUGAUAUUAAGAGCCAUGUCCUACUGUUUCAUUACGAGUUCUAGCAAAUUAGGAAAGUACUAUAGAAAAGGCUUCUUGUAAUUUAGUUCUCCAAAACCAAGUAGUUUACAUGAUGGAUAAUUAUAGCUUAUUUGCGGAAAAACAUAAAUGGGACGAUUAUGUCGCUGACUUCUUCUGAUGUUAAUUUGGAGAUGCAAUGCGUUAUGCAGUGUACCCUCGAACCCGACAUCUGGAGAAGAUUAAGAGAACCCAUAGAAAAGCCUUGGAACUCAUCGAAUUUUUAGCCCGCGACCCGAGAAACAUGGAGUUCUACGUGCUGGGAAGAAAACAAGGUGACGGCGGUGCUCCUGCGGCAGACCUUCGAGAAAGAGGUGAGGGACAAGAUCAACUUACCGCACCGGCUGAGUCAUACAGAAGAUGGAACGAGCCACCCUUGAUCUUGGGUGCACAAAUGGGCAUUCCCGAGUUCGUCAGGACGAUCUUACAAGUGUGUCCGGAGGCAGCUACGUAUCUGGACACCCAAGGUCGAAGCGUUCUCCAAGUAGCAAUACGGCAUGGUAACCGAGAUAUUGUGAGAACUAUACGUGAGAUGACUCGAGGGAAGAAUCCCAUACUACCAUUCUGGCUACUGUCUCGCGUCGACAAAGGGACCGGAAGAACCAUCCUGCACUUGGCUUCGGCAACUGCCCCCGAGCAUAACCAAGAUGCUCUACAAAUGCAAGAUGAAUUAAGAUGGUUUGAGGUCAAGUCCCUAACUACAUUAACUACAAAUAAAAUCUUUACAUUCUCGGAGUUGCCUACUAAAUUUGAUCGUUUUCUGACAUUUUUAUGCAGACGGUGAGAGAUAUGGUUCCUAAGGAAUUAGUGUACAGUAGAAACGCGGAAGAGACGACCGCAGAAGAGAUGUUUACUGAGAGUCACAAAGAUUUGCUCAAGAGUUGCAAGGUUCAACUAAUGGAAACGGGCAGACUGUGUUCCGGGCUGGUCGCAGCUGUAGUGUUCGCGUCAAGCUUCUCAGUCCCCGGCGAUAAGGACCCAACCACCGGCAACCCGGUUUACUUCGGUAGGGCAGCUUUUACGGUCUUCUCACACACGUACGUGUUUGGGCUUUCAUGCGCCGCGACAUCUCUGGUGUUGUUCUUAUCCCUCGCCAUGUCACCUUACAAGGAACAGCAGUUCCGUCGUAUCAUCCCAAUCAAAUACUUCUUUGCCCGCUCGUCGUUUGGGUUGGCGAUGCUGUCUUUUCUGGUGGCGUUCACCUGCAACAUCUACCUACAGAUAUAUGGCUGGCAGAAGACGAAGUCGAAGGACUUGAUUCCAUUCAUAUUGGAGCUCACCGCCUUCCCUUUCAUCUGUUUCCUGGUGUUAUUCUUUUAUGGCUCCAAGUUCGGUCUAUCUUUUCUUUUUCAUUCUUGGCGUUGAGUCAACAAGCAUGAUCGUCCACACGAAUCUGGCAGGUUCAUGAUGUACGUGGGUUGUACCUAUUACGGUAUGUCGCCUGUUCCAGUGGUAUGCGGUGGUAGAAGUCAUUGGACAGUUAAAUAUCUUGUGUGUACAAGCAGCAACAAAGGCAUGUUAUAUGUGGCCGCUAUUUGAUUGUAACUUUAAUGUGGUCUUUUCUUCUAUCUUAAAUUAGAUAAUGAUAUAGGCGCCACGGUAGACAACAAAUCUGAUCACCAAUAAUGGUGAUGGCCCAUCAAUACUGAAUAAUGGUGAUGGCCCUGCCUAUUGUUUUUGGACUAAUGUCCAUAUGACAUAGCUGUUGAUGGGAUCUUAUCCUCUCACCGUUGACUGUAUUGUCAUGUAAGAUAUGCAUGGACGUCCUUUCGUUUUCCCAGAGAUCGGCUAGAAGAUAGGAUCGAGUCUUAUUGAAUCUUCUGUGACAAUCAAGUAGUCUUUAUCGUACAAUUUUGGCCCACCAAAGUUUGCACAGGCAAACGAAAUGAUUGGCUUAUAGAAGCCGAUCGUUCAAGAAGUGAAGGACGUCAAUUUUGGAUUGAAAAAAGAUCAUUUAGCUUUUCAAAAAAGAAAAAGAAUAACCUUUAUAAAAUGGAUAGAAAACUCUCCGUGGAGGCCUUUACACCGCUCCUUAGCAGCAUCCAUGGACUGGAGUCAAUAAGAAACAUUUAAGAAAAGAUAGAAACAGACGUAUCGUUGUCCAAAGAGUGAAGAAGACAAACUAACCACAAGCAAUGCUCGUCUAUUUUAAUGACCUGUCACAAGUCUAAUACAGCCACAAAACAUUAAAAAAAAGGAAGAAGCUUGUUUAUGAGGUGCCAAAGGUUAUGGACAUCUAUCUGAUUCACGCACGGAAUGGUCACCAUCCCCGAGCACCUCUUUCGAAGCCAAUUGUUUGGUCGGCACCUUUGAUUCCUUUCUCUGUAUCUGUCCAAGUGCUGCUCGCCCUUUCUCAAGUACUUUCUAAUCCUCUAUCCAUCUCUCCAUUUUUAUUUUUCUACUUUUACUGUUAUAAUAAGUUUUUUAAAUUAUUUUUAUUACAUUAAAUUACAUAUAAGACAUCCUUAUAUAAACAUAUCAUUAUAUUGCCACGACUAUAUAGACGCUUAUUCUAUAUACAAACUAGAAAUAGACAAAAGGAUACCAAUAAAAUAAAGAGACACCGCAAUAAGAAUCGGAUUUGGUAAAGUAUUUUCCUCAAACGAGCUUGGAGGAUCGGAUAAGAGUUUUGUAAAGAGACCACUGCUCCUGAAAUGAAAACCAAUCGUCGUGCUUUCAAUUAAUAAAACCAAUCAUGCAUACCGUUUUCUAAAGUGUUCAAUGAGGAGACAACAUAAGUAAUUGUCAGUUCACGCAUAUUACUUACCGUACGCAGAAGGAGGCGUAGGUACGUCGGUCGAUGGUCACUUGAUCUCCUUCCUGGCCAUCAUAUAAAGGGAGGCCUUCAGGUGCUCAUCUAAGACCACCAAGGGUACGUGAAGGUUGAAGACGUAGCCAUGGAUCCUUCGGGAAGCCAUUCGGCCCUCGCAACAGAUAACAGUGAUGACGAGAAUAGACGACCUAGCGUCUUCGACGUGGAUCACUUUUGCACCGUGACGUCUCUGAUUCAGCAGGAGAAGUACGAGGAUCUAUUACCCCUAGCCAUGAAGAAGGAUCCUCCACUCAACCUCAUGGAGGACCCUGUGCUCAACGUCGUCAUCGAAUACAAGAAGACCGACCUCGCCAAACGGCAGAUUCAAAACAUGCCCGCGGAGAAGAAGCCCGCGGAGAAGCCCGGACCGCUGUGGUACGCUAAUUACCACGGCGACACGGCUCUCCAUGUCGCGGCCACCGUGGGUGACCUCGACGUGGCCAAGGCGUUGGUCUGGAAGAACUCAGAACUCAGAACUCGUCAGUGCACGCAACUGGAAGAACGAGACACCGCUGCACAAAGCGGCGCUGUACGGGCACGAGACGAUGUUCUGGGACCUGGUGGAAAUGGGGUCGCACGCCCCGGACGAGCGGAGGGAGGACGGCGCCACCGUGCUGCACUGUGCCAUCAUGGGCAGCGCGCCGGGUGAGUUGUAAUCAAUUCCAGGAAGCCAUAGUCAUAUAUAGCUCCUUUCUUGUUUUCCAAAAAUAUGUUUACAUAGUUGAAUUGUAAUGUAGCUUUAGCACUGAAGAUUGCCAAGACAUAUCCACCGCUGAUCACGUCGCGGAAUGAUGAUGCGGUGACUCCGAUGCAGCUGACGGUGACAAUUCCAGGGUUAUUCCGAAGCCUAACGAAUCUUGGGCCCUUAGAGGCCGUAAUUUAUAAGCGUGAGUCGUAAUGUAAUUUCUAGGAUUUACAUCACCAUAAAACAUUCACAGCAUGUAGUUAUGGUAACUAAGGCUUUGUUACAUCAAAUAAAAGCACACCAAUAUGCAUGCUAGCUCUUGAAACUUCAUGGCUGUAUACUUUGAUUGCAAUGUUGCAGUGAUUCCAUACGAAGACUCCAGCGAGCCACGUGCAGUAGAUGAAGAGACAACCAGGGUCUCGAGCGCUGUUGAAGUAUGUGCUUCCGGAUGAAUCAUUUUGUUUUGCAUGAUGGCAUUGAUAUAGUUCAUGAGGUCGAUAGCAUCUUUUCUACUACUUGUCAAUAAUAUUUAUCACAAAAUUUAAGAGCAGUUUUUUCCUCAAACUAGACAAUAUAAAGUUUGAUCUACCAUGUGUUAGAAAUUUUUGUAAUAUCAGUCGAAGUCAUUCUGGUUAGGGUUAACGAAUUACCCUUUUAGGAUAUUUCUAUUCAUCUCACACAUAUGAAUAUGGGUUUUGAAAGUCUUUCACAUAUUCACAAAGGUUUAAACUUAAUACAUGUAACUCAAUUUUUAAGUCUUUCUCUUCUUUGAAGGGUUCAAACUUUGAGUUCAUAUAUUUUUUAACUUUACGAUACGGUUCACAUAUCUACAUCUAUCCAAUGGUACGACUCAUCUACAUUCAGUGGCUGGAAUAUUAUGUAAUUUUUUUUUAGAAACGAUAAGUUUGAGCCAUAUUCUAGUUAGGGUUAAUGUAUAUUAGGUCAUACGUCAUACAUCAAUUGAAUCUAGAAACUUUGAUUAUUAUAUUAUCAAUCAAAUUUAGUAUAUGUAACUAGACUCUUUCAAUUAUUAGUAACAUGAGACUAUCCUCUUAGAAUAUUUCUUUUCAUCUCAUAUAUGAUUUGUCCCUGCACGAGUAUUAUUUCCUUGUAUUGUCUCUGACGUUGGCGUCUACAUGUACUUAAUAAGGGAGGUGCAAAAUAUAUCAAGCGAAAGGUUGUGUCUCUUCUGCCCCCCAAAACGUUUCGUUCGAAAUUCCCAUCUCACUACAGCAGUCUCUUUGACCUGCGGGAAUUGAUGUUCAUCCCAGGUACUCACUCCUACGAGCUUCUCUAUUUACAUUUCUUACCUGGAUCUUAUUGUUGGAUCACAGUACUACACUGAUUCGUGCUUCUGUUGAUGCAGCCAGAUGGGUUCAUUUGUUGCUUUUCCGCAUUCUAAAGCAAUGUAAGUCAUUGUUCGUGGAUGGAUGCAUGAUGUUUAGACAUGUUGUCCUUUUCCAAUUAAUGUUAGUGGAAUUGCAAUGCAUCAUGCAGUGUUCCCUAUGAUCGAACGUCUGGAGAAGCAAAAGAAAACCCACAAGGAAACCUUGGAACUGAUCGAGUUCUUAGCCUAUUAUCCUAGGCACAUGGAGUUCUAUUCCAAGGGAAGACGAAAAGGCAAGGAGGAAAGUCUUCUUGUUGGAGACAUCACCAGUUCUACAACAAGACAGUCUCCUCCGUCAACAGACGCUGGUGAAGGCCAAGGAGUAAAUGGAGGAGGGAACCGAGAUCAAGACUUUGAUAGGUUUGCGGAAAAGCUAUUUAUGUAUAUGUCGCACAAGGAUGCCAAUCACGAAGCAGUAGCAAAAGAGCUCAAGAAGAGCAUGAAGGAGUCGAUGGAGGAAGUGUCCGGUGAAUCCACAAUUAGAAGAUGGGACGAGCCGCCCCUGAUCUUGGGUGCACAAAUGGGUCUUCCUGAGUUCGUCAGGACGAUCUUGCUAGUAUGUUCGCAGGCAGCAGCAUACCUGGACACCAAGGGGAGAAGCGUUCUCCAAGUCGCAGUCAUGUAUCGUCGCGAGGAGAUUGUCAAGAUCAUAAUGGACAUGAGAAACAUUUUACCAUCCUGGUUAUUUUCCGAAAUCGAACCCAAAACCGGGAACACCAUCGUGCAUCUUGCUUCACGUGGAAGCCCUGAUGUAGCAAAGGAAGCGCAAGACGAACCGGAUGCAAUGCAACUGCAUUACGAUUUAGUAUGGUUUGAGGUAAAGUUGCUAAACUUUUUUGCCCCCCUCCUCAAAUUUUGACAUGCUUCUCAAAAGUAUUAUCCGUUCAAUUCUUUGACAUGCAUUCUUCGGUGUCGGUUGUGGGUUAUUCGCGCAUAAUACAAAAUAACCAACAAAUACACAAAUAAAAUCUACGUAUUCUCAGAGUUGCGUACUAAAUUUGAUCGUUUUCUGACAUUUGAAUGCAGACGGUGAGAGAUAUGGUUCCUAAGGAAUUAGUGUACAGUCGGAACGCGCAAACGAAGACCGCAGAAGAGAUGUUUACUGAGAGUCACCGAGCGAUGCUAAAGAGUUACAAGGGUCAACUAAUGGAAACGGGCAGGACGUGUUCAGGGCUUGUCGCUGCUGUAGUGUUCGCGUCGAGCUUCUCCAUCCCCGGCGAUAAGGACCCAGCGACCGGCAACCCGGUUUACUUCGGUAGGCCAGCUUUUAAGGUCUUCUCACAUGCGUACGUGAUUGGGUUGUCAUGCGCCGCCACAUCUCUGGUGUUGUUCUUAUCCCUCGCUAUGUCACCUUACAACGAGCAGCAGUUCCAUCGUAUCAUCCCAACCAAAUACUUCUUUGCCCGCUCGUCGUUUGCGAUGGCGAUGCUGUCUUUUCUGGUGGCGUUCACCUGCAACAUCUACCUACAGAUGUAUGGCUGGCAGAAGGCGAAGUCGAAGGACUUGAUUCCAUUCGUAUUGGAGCUCACCGUCUUCCCCGUCAUCUGUUUCCUGGUGUUGUUCUUUCGUGGCUCCGAUUUCGUCUUUGGGGUUGAGUCAACAAGCAUGAUCGUCCACAUCGUUGGAAUCUGCAGCUUCAUGAUGCACGUGGGUUGUACCUAUUACGGUAUGCCACCUGUUCUAGUGGUGUGUGGUGGUGGUAGUCAUUGGACAGUUAAUAACUUGUGUGUACGGGCAGCGACAAAGGCAUGUGGUGUAUAGACAACAGAGCUGGUCACCAAUAAUGGUGAUGGGCCUCUCUAUUGUUUUUGACGAAGUCAAUAUGACACAACUGUUGACCGGAUCUCACCCUGUAUUGUAAUGUAUACUGUCACAUGUCGAGCGACAGAUUUCCCCUAUCGCAUGCAAAUUGCAGUGAGAUGUAUGGACGUCCUUUUGGUUUCCCAGAGGUCGGCUAGAAGAUAGGCUCGAGUUUUAUUGAAUCUUCUGUGACAAAUCACAUAGUCUAUAUCGUAAAGUUCUGGCCCGCCAAAGUUUGCACAGGCAAACGAAAUGAUUGGCUUAUAGAAGCCAAUCAUUCAAGAAGCGAAGGACAUCAAUUUUGGAUUAAAAAAAUAUCAACAAAAAAAAAAUUCACCUUUGUAGAAAGGAAAGAAAACCCUCCUUCGCAUCAUCUAUGGAGUCGAAUAAGAAAGAUUUAAGAAAAGAUAGAAAUGAUCCGAGUGAAGAAGACAAAUUAACGAGCAGCAAUGCUCGUCUAUUCCAAAGACCUGCCACGAGAAUAAUACAGCGAGAAAAAAUGAAAAGAAAAGAAAAGAAAGAAGCUUAUUUAUGAGGUGCGAAAGGUUAUGGACAUCCGAUUCACACUGUUGUAGCCGAUGGUUACUAUCCUCCUCCGAAGCCAACUUGUGCUCGGCUACUUUGAUUCCUUUCUCUAUGACUGUCUCAAGUGCCGCUCGUCCUUUUCCAAUUACUUUUUAUAUAAAAUUAAUAUAUUUUAUAUAACAAAAGAGUAAUUUAUAUAUAUAAAAAAAUUAUUCUAAAUUAUUCAAAAUAUAUUAUUACACUAUCAUUCAAAGAAUGUGUUGCAUAUUAAUUUUUUUUAUAUAUAAAGAAUCCUAUUAAACAUGAGGUAUUACAAAAAAAAAAUAGCUCUCUCCAACAACCUCCUGUCAUGUCAACUUCUAGUAAAAUCCCUUUUAGCUUGAGAAAAGAAGUUCUUCGUUAAUACUAUAAUUGAGACUGCCACCGCAAGUAAAACCAGUGUUUGGUACCCUGUCUCCGUUCCACCAUGCGCUGACGUUAUCAGAUUCCCUUUCGCUGAUCUAUACAUCUUAUUGUCAUAAGACGUGAGACUGAAAGUGAUAUGUUGGAGGAAACUAUUAAUUAUAUUUCUAUUUAUUAUUGGUUGACCGAUGGAGAUGAUUACUUUACUUGAGAUGUCAUGUUGAGGUAAUUAAAUCAUGCCAACGCAGAUUCGAAUAAUAAAAUUCUAUUAGCUUGUCAUUAAGCAAAAGACACCCACUCGAAGAUAACUUGAUUUGGAGCUACAAAUGAUAACACUGAGAGCAAAAGAUUCAAUAAAGAGAUGUUGCCAUAAUCCCGGGUGCAUAAAAAGAAUCGGAGACCAACCAAAGGGUCGUCAACUCCAAAGACUUGCGAUGAGUAUGAUCUACAAAAACUUUUCUAUAAGGUGCAAGUUGAAUGAUCGGUGGAGACCCACAAGUAGAGCUUUGGGUGCAGGCUUCCGGAUUAUUGUUUCCUGUAGAGCAAGAAUCGUUGACCCACAAGUUAAAGCUGCUGUCUAGCUUUAACGUAUGUGAAUUAUUCAUUAGUAGGUUGGCCUCUGUAACAUACGAUUAAUUUGUUGUCGAAUCUUUUGUGAAUGAGAUGGAGGGUGCUUAAUUUGUUAGUGAAAGAAAAGUCAAUAAUGAGAAAAAGGGCAGAGAAGAAAACGCAAGAUGAAAGCUCAUCUGGAGAGUUCUUCAUGGCAGUGCCACUUUAAGAGGGGAGAUAGGUUGGAAGGGGUCCAAAGGGGAUCUGUACUAAACUUGGAACGGUUUAGCUGGUUUGAGCAAAGAAUCCGACGCCAUUUUCCGACACUAAGCGACGCCAAUCGACUGAAAAGGAGGGAGGCGUACGACGAUGGAUGAGAGCCAAAAGGAUAAGCUAAUCUGCUUGUUAAGGCAGGCCUUCAGGUUUCUUUAGUUUCGCAGUAGAAAUCAGGAGGCGAAGGCGUACGAACGAGUUGUACGCACCAUAUAGCAACUGCACCAUAUAUAUUUUUGGUCGGUGAGAACGUAGCGAAAGGAGCGGCUCCCUUCGGUGUGUUUUGGAUAUGACGGCUCCUUCCACCACCCAAAAGCUGACGCCUGCUGCAGAUGUAGGCACCGGAUCAGGGAGAAAAGUAGAGAAACAGCCGUCUGUACCCGGGAAAUCGCAGCCUGCACACGGCGCAGGUGGUGGUGGAUCAGAGGAGCCACCGCAUGCCCUGGACGUGGCACGCUUCCGCCGGCUGAACUCGCUCAUCCACCGUGAGAACGUGGACGCGAACAAACUCCUGCGUCUAGUGGAGCAGGAUAACCACGUGAACCUCAUGAACGACCCCUUGCUCAGCGUCGUCAUCGCCUGCAAGAAGCCCAAGCUCGCCUGCAGCCUCAUCGACAAAAUAUCAUCAAAUGACAUUCUCAAGGCCAGCAACUUAAACGGCGACACGGCGCUUCACGUAGCUGCCGCCAUGGACGACAAAGAAGUGGCCUCGAAGCUGAUCGACAGGGUGCCAGAUCUCGUUCAUAUGCAGAACGUGAAACAGGAGAUACCGCUACAUAAGGCGGCGCUGUACGGGCUGCUGGACAUGUUCUGGCUGCUGGUGGAAAAUAACAGCUCACCGAAAGCCCGGAGGGAGGACGGCGCCACCAUGCUGCACUGUGCCAUCAUGGGCAACGCGCCGGGUAAGCGAUCAUCACCAGUUUUGUUGGUCUGGCGCUGGCCAGCUGUCUUUCUCUUGUUUUUAUCCUAUUUUUUUGAAGUGUUGUAUGUGGAUCAUACUGCUUCCGCAUCUUUGGUGUGAUCAAGGUGAGUGAGUCGACGCAGGGCUUGCACUGGAGAUUGCAAAGCGUUUUCCAUUGCUGAUCACAUCGCGGAAUACUAUGGCGGUAACCCCGUUGCAGCUGAUGGUGACCGUUCCGGGGUUAUUCCGAAGCCAAAUGGUAAUUGGCGGCUUCGAGUCCAUCCUCCAUGACUGUAAGUGCUGCCCCGCCUCUUCCUUCAACGCCCCCAGCGCCCCGCCCUCCCCCCUGCUUCUCUAUUUAUUGCACUACAUUUCCUACUAACGACUACCUUAAUUUAGCGAUCGUUCGACGUCCAAAUUUAUCGAGAAUUUACCAAGGGGUGUUUUGUUUCUCAUUAUCGGGACACAUAUACCCUUGAUUUUUUGGAUUUAUUAUAUGGUUUUGUGUUAAACCGAAUCAAAUCUAAUCGGUCGAAUCUGGUUUGCACUCUGUUCUUUUUUCUUUCACAUGUCUCCUCCUCCUUCCCUCGAUUCGCCCUUUUUGUUGUCACCCUUUCACCCUUAUUCUUUCUUCUUCAAGGAGGAGGAGGAGAGGAAGCGACACAAGGUUGACCGGUUCAUUGAACCGGUUCGCUCAUCGAAACUGUUUUUGUGAAUCAUUUCAAAAAGUUUGAAACGAAAUUAAUUGGAAUAGGAGGAUAAAGUUAGAAUUUACCAAAAAAAAAAACAUUCCUAAAUAAUUUCUGAAUAGAGGGGCGUGAUAGAAACCAAUUACUAAUAAUCUUUUAGGUGAAUUAUUAUUAUUAUUAUUAUUAUUAUUAUUAUUAUUAUUAUUAUUAUUAUUAUUAUUAUAUAUAAAUAUAAUAUGGUGUAACGGAAUUAUUGACUUAGUAACUUCACUGAACUUGGAUCGUUGAUCUGAAUAAUUAAGUUUAAAUUAAUAAUAAUACACUCAUCAAAUCUCUAUAAAUUAAUCUUAGAAUUUGUCUACUUUUAAUUUUCGAUGUGAAGUAAAAUUAUAAUUGUUCUCAGAAAAAUAUAGUUAUGAUGAAACUUAAACAUCAAGCAUUUUGAUACCAGUAGUGUACAUGCUCCUAAAAUUUUGAUUUUACAUUUCAGUUAUUCCUUUGGAGAAGGACUCAGACAGGACUCGUCGAAGAGAUGAAGAGGAGGCAAGUGGAAGCUCCAACGAUGCCGGUGUAUGUGAUUCAAAUCAUCAACAUCUUUUCCAUCACAAUAUCAAUAGUCCACUAUUGUCUCUCUGAUUUGUUUCUCUUUUUGGCGUCUACAUAUAUAUAAUCUCAAGCAAGCUGAGGGCACAGAACAAGAUGACCACGAAUAUUUCGGGAGGCAGAGAACAAUUCGUUCGAGAUUUCCAUCUUGCUGCUGUACUCUCGUUGACAUAUUAGUCAUCCCAGGCACUCCUACUAGCUUCUCUGUCUACAAUUUUUGUAGUCAUCCAUGUUCUGUUUCAUUACGCUGAUGUUUUCCUUUUUGUCCUUGCAGUCAAAUGGGUUCGUCUGUUUCUCUUCAUCAUUUUAAAGACCUGUGAGUAAUUGUUCCCAAACAGUACAUUGAUGAUAUUUAGAACCAUGUCCUACUGUUUCAUUACGAGUUUUAGCAAAUUAGGAAAGUACUAUAGAAAAGGCUUCUUGUAAUUUAGUUCUCCAAAACCAAGUAGUUUACAUGAUGGAUAAUUAUAGCUUAUUUGCGGAAAAACAUAGAUGGGAUGAUCAUGUCGCUGACUUCUUCUGAUGUUAAUUUGGAGAUGCAAUGCGUUUAAGAUUAAUUUAGUUCUUCUGAUGAUCAUGUCGGAAAAACAUAAAUGCAGUGUACCCUCGAACCCGACAUCUGGAGAAGAUUAAGAGAACCCAUAGAAAAGCCUUGGAACUCAUCGAAUUUUUAGCCCGCGAACCGAGAAACAUGGAGUUCUACGUGCUGGGAAGCAAACAAGGUGACGGCGGAGCUCCUGCGGCAGGCUUUCGAGAAAGUGGUGGGCGACAAGAUCAACUUAAUGCACCAGCUGCGUCUACCAGAAGAUGGAAUGAGCCACCCUUGAUCUUGGGUGCACAAAUGGGCAUUCCCGAGUUCGUCAGUACGAUCUUACGAGUGUGUCCGCAGGCAGCUACGUACCUGGACACCGGUGGCCGAAGCGUUCUCCAAGUAGCAAUAAAGCAUGGUAACCGAGAGAUUGUGAGAACUAUACGUGAGAUGACUCGGGGGAAUAAUCCCAUACUACCAUCCUGGCUACUGUCCCGUGUCGACAAAGGGACCGGAAGAACCAUCCUACACCUUGCGUCGGCAAAUGCCCCCAAGCAUACCCAAGAUGCUCUACAAAUGCAAGAUGAAUUAAGAUGGUUUGAGGUCAAGUCCCUAACUACAUUAACUACAAAUAAAAUCUUUACAUUCUCGGAGCUGCCUACUAAAUUUGAUCGUUUUCUGACAUUUGUAUGCAGAGGGUGAGAGAUAUGGUUCCUAAGGAAUUAGUGUACAGUCGAAACGCGCAAGAGAUGACCGCAGAAGAGAUGUUUACUCUGAGUCACCAAGCUUUGCUCAAGAAUUGCAAGGAUCAACUAAUGGAAACGGGCAGGCUGUGUUCAGGGCUGGUCGCAGCUGUAGUGUUCGCGUCGAGCUUCUCAGUCCCCGGCGAUAAGGACCCAGCCACCGGCAACCCGGUUUACUUCGGUAGGGCAGCUUUUACGGUCUUCUCACACACGUACGUGUUUGGGCUUUCAUGCGCCGCGACAUCUCUGGUGUUGUUCUUAUCCCUCGCCAUGUCACCUUACAAGGAACAGCAGUUCCGUCGUAUCAUCCCAAUCAAAUACUUCUUUGCCCGCUCGUCGUUUGGGUUGGCGAUGCUGUCUUUUCUGGUGGCGUUCACCUGCAACAUCUACCUGCAGUUAUAUGGCUGGCAGAAGACGAAGUCGAAGGACUUGAUUCCAUUCAUAUUGGAGCUCACCGCCUUCCCUUUCAUCUGUUUCCUGGUGUUAUUCUUUUAUGGCUCCAAGUUCUUUUAUGGCUCCAAGUUCGGUCUAUCUUUUCUUUUUCGUUCUUGGCGUUGAGUCAACAAGCAUGAUCGUCCACAUCCUUCGAAUCUGCAGCUUCAUGAUGUACGUGGGUUAUACCUAUUACGGUAUGCCGCCUGUUCCAGUGGUGUGUGGUGGUGGUAGUCAUUGGACAGUUAAUAACUUAUGUGUACAAGCAGCGACAAAGGCAUGUGAUGUAUGGACGCUAUUUGAUUGCAACUUUAAUGUGGUUUUUUAUCUUCUAUCUUCGAUUAGAUGAUGUCUGCGCAACGGUAGACAACAGAGCUGGUCACCAAUAAUGGUGAUGGCCCUCUCUAUUGUUUUUGACGAAGUCAAUAUGACACAACUGUUGACCGGAUCUCACCCUGUAUUGUAAUGUAUACUGUCACAUGUCGAGCGACAGAUUUCCCCUAUCGCAUGCAAAUUGCAGUGAGAUGUAUGGACGUCCUUUUGGUUUCCCAGAGGUCGGCUAGAAGAUAGGCUCGAGUUUUAUUGAAUCUUCUGUGACAAAUCACAUAGUCUAUAUCGUAAAGUUUUGGCCCGCCAAAGUUUGCACAGGCAAACGAAAUGUUUGGCUUAUAGAAGCCGAUUAUUCAAGAAGCGAAGGACAUCAAUUUUGGAUUAAAAAAAUAUCAACAAAAAAAAAUCACCUUUGUAGAAAGGAAAGAAAACCCUCCUUCGCAUCAUCUAUGUAGUCAAAUAGGAAAGAUUUAAGAAAAGAUAGAAAUGGUCCGAGUGAAGAAGACAAACUAACGAGCAACAAUGCUCGUCUAUUCCAAAGACAUGCCACGAGAAUAAUGCAGCAAGAAAAAAUGAAAAGAAAAGAAAAGAAAGAAGUUUAUUUAUGAGGUGCGAAAUGUUAUGGACAUCCGAUUCACACUGUUGCAGCUGAUGGUUACCAUCCUCUUCCGAAGCCAACUUGUGCUCGGCUCCUUUGAUUCCUUUCUAUAAAGGUUAUGGACAUCCGAUUCACUCGCGCCAUUGCUGCUCGUCCUUUCCCAAUUACUUUUUAUAUAAAAUUAUUAUAUUUUAUAUAAUAAUAUAGUAAUUUUUAUAAAAAAAGUAUUCUAAAUUAUUCUAAAUAUAUUAUUAUACUAUCAUUCAAAGAAUGUGUUGAAUAUUAAUUUUUUUUAUAAAUUUAUCCAAAAUUCAUCAUAAAACUAAUCAUAAAAUUCUACAUCUCUUAUUUUCUAUUUCCUAUAUUGACUUAGUUAUACUCAAAAUUAAAAUAAAUUAAAUUCGAUUACCUAACUUAUUUUAAUAUUAAUAUAUAUAUAUAUAUAUAUAUAUAUAUAUUACUUUUAGAUAUAUUUAGGAUAAUUAAUUAUCAGAACUUUGAGAAUUCUACUGUAAUUUGAUUCUAACCAAAAAAAUACUAGUUUUUUUAUUUUAUAAUAAGUUUAUAUAAAAUUAAUAUAUCUUACUAAAUUCGAGUGUAACUUAGAUUUGGCUCUACCCAACCCGACUCGAUCCGAAAGGAUGCGCCCCAAAUCAAUUUAAUUCAGAUCCAAUCAACCAGCUAAUUAGUUAGGUUUGAAAUAGUCUCGUAUUAUGAAAAUUUUUAAAUAAAAAUAUCCUGAGCUUUUAUAUAUAUAUAUAUAUAUAUAUAUAUAUAUAUAUAUAAAGAAUCCUAUUAAACAUGAGGUAUUACAAAAAAAAUCGCUCUCCAACAACCUCCUGUCAUGUCAACUCUAGUAAAAUCCCUUUUAGCUUGAGAAAAGAAGUUCUUCGUCAAUACUAUAAUUGAGACUGCAACCGAUUCUUUGUUUUUUACUCAUUUUCUUUUGGUUCGUUUUCAUGUCAGUGUCAAGCUACAUGAUAGUUAAACAAGUGUUUGGUACCUUGUCUCCGUUCCACCAUGCUCUGACGUUAUCAGAUUCCCUUUCUGUGAUCUAUGUAUCUUUUUGUCAUAAGACGUGAGACUGUCAGUGAUAUGUUGGAAGAAACUAUUAAUUAUAUUUCUAUUUAUUAUUGGUUGACCGAUGGAGAUGAUUACUUUACUUGGGAUGUCAUGUUGAGGUAAUUAAAUCAUGCCAACGCAGAUUCGAAUAAUAAAAUUCUUUUAGCUUGUCAUUAAGCAAAAGACACCCACUCGAAGAUAACGUGAUUUGGAGCUACAAAUGAUAACAUCGAGAGCAAAAGAUUCAAUAAAGAGAUGUUGCCAUAAUCCCGGGUGCAUAAAAAGAAUCGGAGACCAACCAAAGGGUCGUCAACUCCAAAGACUUGCGAUGAACAUGAUCUACAAAACCUUUUCUAUAAGGUGCAAGUGGAGGUUUGGGUGCAAGCUUCCGGAUUAUUGUUUCCUGUAGAGCAAGAAUCGUUGACCCUCGCAUGGCCAUCCACGUUUAUGGCAUGUAGGUGCUGUCUAGCUUUAACGUAUGUGAAUUAUUCAUUAGUAGGUUGGCCUCACUAACGUACGAUUAAUUUGUUGUCGAAUCUUUUGUGAGUGAGAUGGAGAGUGCUUAAUUUGUUGUGAAAGAAAAAACAAUAAUGAGAAAACUAGCACAGAAGAAAACGCAAGUUGAAAGCUCAUCUGGAGAGUUCUUCAUGGCAGUGCCACUUUAAGAGGGGAUAUGAGUUGGAAGGGGUCCAAAGGGGAUCUGUACUAAACUUGGAACUGUUUAGCUGGUUUGAGCAAAGAAUCCGACGCCAUUUUCCGACUCUAAGCGACGCCAAUCGACUGAGAAGGAGGGAGGCGUACGACGAUGGAUGAGAGCCAAAAGGAUCAGCUAAUCUUGUUGUUAAGGCAGUCCUUUCAGGUUGCUUUAAUUUUGGUGUAGGCAUCUGGCGGCGAAGGCGUACUUACCAUAUAGCAACUGCAUGCUAUGGGGGAUCCCGCCGCUCUUGCCAAUACGGAUUCCAUUCACGACGGCACAGAGGAUGCUGAUCCACUGCAUGUGCUCAACAGGAGACAUUUUCUCGCGGUGAAGUCUCAUUUCCGUCAGAGGAAGCACGAGGCACUCUUGGCUCUAGCCGUGGAAGAUCCUGGUCGCCCGGUGAACCUCAUGAACGACACUUUGCUCCACGUCGUCAUAGCUUGCAACAAGACCGACCUCGCCAAAAGUAUUAUCUUGCAGAUGCCAGUGGAGACCCUCGCGGCCAAGAAUUUGUACGGCGACACGGCUCUUCAUGUCGCUGCCGCCGUGGGUAACAGCGAGGUGGCCAGGGAGCUGUUCGGCAAGAGAGAAGAUCUCAUCGGAGAACAGAACUUGAAGCAGGAGACACCACUGCACAAAGCGGCGUUCUACGGGCAUCAUGACAUGUUCUGGUGCCUGGUGGACGAGGGGAAUGGCUCCCCGUACGAGCGGAGGGAGGACGGCGCCACCAUGCUGCAUUGUGCCAUCAUGGGCAACGAGCCGGGUAAGCGAUCAUCACCAGUUUCGUUGGCCAGCUGCCUUUAUCUUGUUUUUAUCCUAUCCUAUUUAUUUGAAUUGUUAUAUGUGGAUCAUACUGCUUCCGCAUCUUUGGCGUGAUCAAGGUGAGUGAGUAUCGAUGCAGGGCUGGCACUGGAGAUUGCAGAGCAUUUUCCAUUGCUGAUCACGUCGCGGAAUACUAUGGCGGUGACCCCGUUGCAGCUGAUGGUGACCGUUCCGGGGUUAUUCCGAAGCCAAAUGGAACUUGGCGGCUUCGAGUCCAUCCUCCAUGACUGUAAGUGCUGCCCGCCUCUUCCUUCAUCGCCCCCGGCGCCCCGCCCUCCCCCCUGCUUCUCUAUUUCUUUCACUACAUUUCCUACCAACGACUACCUUAAUUUAGCGAUCGUUCGACGUCCAAAUUUAUCGAGAAUUUACCUAAGGGUGUUUUUUUCUCAUUAUCGGAACACAUAUACCCUUGAUUUUUUGGAUUUAUUGUAUGGUUUUGUGUUAAACCGAAUCAAAUCUAACCGGUCGAGUCUGAUUUGAUCUCUGUUCUUUAUUCUUUCACAUGUCUUUCUCCUCCUUCCCUCAAUUCCCCCUUUUGUUGUCACCCUUUCACCCUUAAUUCUUUCUUCUUCAAGGAGGAGAGGAGGAGUAGGCGGAGGAGGAGAAGAGGAAGCGACAGAAGGUUGACCGCUUCAUCGAACCGGUUCGCUCAUUCAAACUGUUUUAGUAAAUCAUUUCAAAAAGUUUGAAACGAAAUUAAUUGGAAUAGGAGGAUAAAGUUAGAAUUUACCAAAAAAAAUUCCUAAAUAAUUUUUGAAUAGAGGGGAGUGAUAGAAAACAAUUACUAAUAAUCUUUUNNNNNNNNNNNNNNNNNNNNUAUAUAUAUAUAUAUAUAUAUAUAUAUAUAUAUAUAUAUAUAUAAUCUAAUCUAACAGAAUAAUUGACUUAUUAACUUCAGGAUCAUUGAUCUGAAUAAUUAAGUUUAAAUUAAUAAUAAUACACUUAUCAAAUCUCUAUAAAUUAAUCUUAGUAUUUGUCUACUUUUAAUUUUCGAUGUGAAGUAAAAUUAUAAUUGUUCUGAGAAAAAUAUAGUUAUGAUGAAACUUAAACAUCAAGCAUUUUGAUUUUACAUUUCAGUUAUUCCUUUGGAGAAGGACUCACACAGGACUCGUCGAAGAGAUGAAGAGGAGGCAGGUGGAAGCUCCAACGAUGCCGGUGUAAGUGAUUCAAAUCAUCAACAUCUUUUCCAUCACAAUAUCAAUAGUCCACUAUUGUCUCUUAUUUGUUUCUCACUUUGGCGUUUACAUAUAUAUAAUCUCAAGCAAGCUGAAGCCGCAGAGCAAGAUGACCACGAAUAUUUCGGGAGGCAUAGAACAAUUCGUUCAAGAUUUCCAUCUUGCUGCUGUACUCUCGUUGACAUAUUAGUCUUCCCAGGCACUCCUACUAGCUUCUCUGUCUACAAUUUUUGUAGUCAUCCAACUUCUGUUUCAUUACACUGAUGUAUUCCUUUUUGUGCUUGCAGUCAAAUGGGUUCGUCUGUUUCUUUUCUUCAUUAUAAGGACUUGUGAGUAACUGUUCCCAAACAGUACAUUGAUGAUGUUAAGAGCCAUGUCCUACUGUUUCAUUACGAGUUCUAGCAAAUUAGGAAAGUACUAUAGAAAAGGCUUCUUGUAAUUUAGUUCUCCAAAACAAAGUAGUUUACAUGAUGGAUAAUUAUAGCUUAUUUGCGGAAACACAUAAAUGGGAUGAUCAUGUCGCUGACUUCUUCUGAUGUUAAUUUGGAGAUGCAAUGCGUUUAAGAUUAAUUUAGUUCUUCUGAUGAUCAUGUCGGAAAAACAUAAAUGCAGUGUACCCUCGAACCCGACAUCUGGAGAAGAUUAAGAGAACCCAUAGAAAAGCCUUGGAACUCAUCGAAUUUUUAGCCCGCGACCCGAGAAACAUGGAGUUCUACGUGCUGGGAAGAAUGCAAGGUGACGGCGGAGCUCCUGCGGCAGGCUUUCGAGAAAGAGGUGGACGACAAGAUCAACUUAAUGCACCAGCUGCGUCUACGAGAAGAUGGAACGAGCCACCCUUGAUCUUGGGUGCACAAAUGGGCAUUCCCGAGUUCGUCAGUACCAUCUUACGAGUGUGUCCGGAGGCAGCUACCUACCUGGACACCCGUGGCCGAAGCGUUCUCCAAGUAGCAAUAGAGCAUGGUAACCGAGAGAUUGUGAGAACUAUACGUGAGAUGACUCAGGGGAAGAAUCCCAUACUACCAUCCUGGCUACUGUCCCGCGUCGACAAAGGGACCGGAAGAACCAUCCUGCACUUUGCUUCGGCAAAUGCCCCUGAGCAUAACCAAGAUGCUCUACAAAUGCAAGAUGAAUUAAGAUGGUUUGAGGUCAAGUCCCUAACUACAUUAACUAGAAAUAAAAUAUUUAUAUUCUCGGAGUUGCCUACUGAAUUUGAUCGUUUUCUGACAUUUGAAUGCAGACGGUGAGAGAUAUGGUUCCUAAGGAAUUAGUGUACAGUCGAAACGCGCAAGAGAUGACCGCAGAAGAGAUGUUUACCAAGAGUCACCAAGCUUUGCUCAAGAGUUGCAAGGUUCAACUAAUGGAAACGGGAAGGUUGUGUUCGGGGCUGAUCGCAGCUGUAGUGUUCGCGUCGAGCUUCUCCAUCCCCGGCGAUAAGGACCCAGCGACCGGCAACCCGGUUUACUUCGGUAGGGCAGCUUUUAAGGUCUUCUCACAUGCGUACGUGAUUGGGUUGUCAUGCGCCGCCACAUCUCUGGUGUUGUUCUUAUCCCUCGCCAUGUCACCGAACAAGGAGCAGCAGUUCCGUCGUAUAAUCCCCACCAAAUACUUCUUUGCCCGCUCGUCGUUUGGGUUUGCGAUGCUGUCUUUUCUGGUGGCGUUCACCUGCAACAUCUACCUACAGUUAUAUGGCUGGCAGAAGACGAAGUCGAAGGACUUGAUUCCAUUCGUAUUGGAGCUCACCGUCUUCCCUGUUAACUGUUUCCUGGUGUUGUUCUUUCGUGGCUUCACCUUCGAUAUACCUUUCCUUUUUCGUUCUUGGCGUUGAGUCAACAAGUAU
RNAcentral lists this long non-coding RNA (23918 nucleotides) under Musa acuminata (dwarf banana). Its description in RNAcentral is "long non-coding RNA (MACU_LNC000942)". Lineage: Eukaryota; Viridiplantae; Streptophyta; Magnoliopsida; Zingiberales; Musaceae. The record is from RNAcentral.